GCACUCGUUGCAGGCGACGAUGCAGAGGGCUGUAAGUGUGGUGGCCCAUCUGGGCUCUCGCCUGCAGGCAUUCUCCCCGGCCUUGUGUCGUCCAUUUAGUUGCGCACAGGAGGUGCUCCGCCGGACACCGCUGUAUGACUUCCACCUGGCCCACGGCGGGAAAAUGGUGGCGUUUGCGGGUUGGAGUCUGCCAGUGCAGUACCGGGACAGUCACACUGACUCGCACCUGCACACACGCCAGCACUGCUCGCUCUUUGACGUGUCUCAUAUGCUGCAGACCAAGAUACUUGGUAGUGACCGGGUGAAGCUGAUGGAGAGUCUAGUGGUUGGAGACAUUGCAGAGCUAAGACCAAACCAGGUGGGCCCUUUUAUUUCUGCUCUAUGAGUUUUCUUAGUCAUGAGCCAGCAAAUGGGCUGAGUCCCUACCUCAAGCUUAGGGGCACAGAGAUGAGUCAAACACAGCUUCUCAGGGCUUGCAGUCUUGGACAGAAUCCCUGAGUCAUUUCCAGAGACACAGACAUUUGUAGGGAGGGGAAUAUCCCAGCCUUACUACAUCAGGCUAGGAGGCCAGAAACCAAGGUUAAUAUGCUGCUCUCUGGCCAUCCCUUCUGCUUAACCCCUCUCUAUUCAACAUGUAGUCCCUGGCCAGGCGACGUGACUCAAACACCUGUAAUCCCGGCACUUGGGGAGGCCAAGGCGGGUGGAUCACCUGAGGUCAGGAGUUCGAGACCAGCCUGGCCAACGUGGCAAAACCUCGUUUCUACUAAAAAUACAAAAAUUAGCCGGGCGUGGUGGCGCACGCUUGUAGUCCCAGCUACUUGGGAGGCUGAGGUUGCAGCAAGCUGAGGUUGCACCACUGCGCUCUGGCCUGGGCAACAGAGCGAGACUCAGUUUAAAAAGAAAAAUAACAACAACAAAGUGUGGUCUCUAAACCAGCAUCUUUGGAGCUUGUUAGGAAUAUACUCUCAGGCGCUGCUCCAGACCUGCUGAAUCAGAACCUUCAUUUUAACAAAAUCCCCAGGUGAUUCAUGUGACCCCCUCAACCUCAGGCUUUUUGUCCAUCCAGUGGGGAGGCUAAGGAAGUUUUUUGGGGGCAUUGCUGUGGAGUACUUAGGAGAGCCUGGGAUCAUCAAGAUGACCUUUGAAGCUUUUGUCCUGUGGGUUGGCACAUGGGCUGAGUCGUCCCAGGUUUGGGUAGGUGAAGCAGCAGGUCCUAGGUGUCAUAGAUUAAGCAUCAGAUGGGACUCUCAGUACAGAGUGGGGAGGGGUGCAGAGGUCUCACCAGAUCAGGGAAGCACCCCAAGGUAGGGAGAGGAUGAAAACUUACUUGGUGCAUGAGGAUCAAAGACCUUGGACUUGGGCCCAGACUUGUACCUUGUACACCCUGAGUCCUUCACAUUAGGGUUCAUAACCUUUUGGCAGCUAAGUGGGUCCAGGGUUAUGUCUGGCUCACCCUUGGCCUUGCCCUCCUGGACCUGGAAGCCAAAACGCUCCACUUUGGUCCUAGGGGACACUGUCGCUGUUUACCAACGAGGCUGGAGGCAUCUUAGAUGACUUGAUUGUAACCAGUACUUCUGAGGGCCACCUGUAUGUGGUGUCCAACGCUGGCUGCUGGGAGAAAGAUUUGGCCCUCAUGCAGGUAUACCCCCUCUGUGUUCUAGGCACCUUGUCUUCCUUGUUCAUAGAGCAGCAUCCUUGUUAUCCAAGACAGGGUUGGCACAGACAAAGGACCUGGAAAAUGGCUCUUUCAGUGAAUGAACAGCUAUGAGACUCAAGAGCAGGCCCUCUCUGGAGCAUGCCAGGGUUUGGUGGUGGGGGAUUACCAGGCAUGGGGAGGGGGUCUUGGCCCCUCUGGUGUGAGGUGGCAGACCUGGGCUUGGGUCAUCUCUAUCACUUAGUAGCUAUGUGACCUUGUAAGAUGGGAACCAGCCUACUACCUUUUUUUCCUCCCUCCUCCUCCUCCUCUCCACUGUCUUACUACUGUCCAGCUCUGCAGCGUCCAGCCCAUGGUAGCUGCUCAGUAAGUGGCCCCAGAUGCUCUUGUGUUUCUGUCUUUUAGGACAAGGUCAGGGAGCUUCAGAACCAGGGCAGAGAUGUGGGCCUGGAGGUGUUGGAUAAUGCCCUGCUAGCUCUGCAAGGUGAGAGGGCUGGGCUGGGGUUGGAGCCAACCUUUGCCUUCCUGGCUUUAUUGACUGCUUAGCACAGAGGCCAUACCAAGAAGAAGGUGUGGAAGGUGUGAUAUUUGUGUGCCAUAAUUUUAAGUUUGGUAUCUUGCCCUCCUCCUACCUACCACAAGGCUCCAUGGGCUAGAGACAAGGGCAUCUUCUCCCACUUGCAGAGUAAGACGUGCUCAGGGCUUGUUCUAGUCCCUGAAUAAGGCUUUAGUCCAGGUUUGAGGGAUGCUGGGACCUGGAUACUUGGUCACUGGCUCCCUGGGCCCAGGCCCCACUGCAGCCCAGGUACUACAGGCCGGCGUGGCAGAUGACCUGAGGAAACUGCCCUUCAUGACCAGUGCUGUGAUGGAGGUGUUUGGCGUGUCUGGCUGCCGUGUGACCCGCUGUGGCUACACAGGAGAGGAUGGUGUGGAGAUCUCGGUGCCGGUAGCGGGGGCAGUUCACCUGGCAACAGCUCUUCUGAAAAACCCAGAGGUGAAGCUGGCAGGGCUGGCAGCCAGGGACAGCCUGCGCCUGGAGGCAGGCCUCUGCCUGUACGGGAAUGACAUUGAUGAACACACUACACCUGUGGAGGGCAGCCUCAGUUGGACACUGGGGAAGCGCCGCCGAGCUGCUAUGGACUUCCCUGGAGCCAAAGUCAUUGUUCCCCAGCUGAAGGGCAAGGUGCAGCGGAGGCGUGUGGGGUUGAUGUGUGAGGGGGCCCCCAUGCGGGCACACAGUCCCAUCCUGAACAUGGAGGGUACCAAGAUUGGUACUGUGACUAGUGGCUGCCCCUCGCCCUCUCUGAAGAAGAAUGUGGCGAUGGGUUAUGUGCCCUGCGAGUACAGUCGUCCAGGGACAAUGCUGCUGGUAGAGGUGCGGCGGAAGCAGCAGAUGGCUGUAGUCAGCAAGAUGCCCUUUGUGCCCACAAACUACUAUACCCUCAAGUGAAGCUGGCUCAGGGUGGGGCUGUCCCUUCCAGAAGUUUUGCCCCUACAAGGGGUUAGUCAAGAAGCUGAGGCAGAACUCACUGGGGGUGGGCAGUUAAGGUGGAGGCUGAUUCUAAUUGUCUGGCUGAGGGGCCACACCACCUAUUCCCCCCACCUAACUCAUGCCACUCCAGCUUCCUUCAGGACCCUGCUUCUGAGUGACGGACCAGCUCACACAAUGUCUUGUUUCAGUCCAUGAUCCCACUGACCUACUCUUGCCUGCUGGAGGGUAAUGAGAAGCUUUGGUUCUGCCAUCUCUCCCACUCUGCCAGGUGCUGGCUGUGGAGCAAAGGCUCACCUUUGUGGGGAGGAUAAAACCUGCCCAACCUACCUCACCAUGGUUUUUCACAUUGCAAACGGUAAUAACAUGGGCAGUGUGGACUUAGGCUACCCCCUCCAGUUUGCUUUCCGUAAAUGCAAAUUGUCCCUACUGCAAGUCAGGAAUGAUUGCCGACUCACAGUAGGGCUGCUAUGCCUGUGUGUAAACUUGGGGAUGGCUGAGGGAACACAGACUCACUCUUCCGCAUUCCCAA
RNAcentral lists this small RNA (3675 nucleotides) under Pongo abelii (Sumatran orangutan). Its description in RNAcentral is "retained intron". Lineage: Eukaryota; Metazoa; Chordata; Mammalia; Primates; Hominidae. The record is from RNAcentral.